This 2798-nucleotide long non-coding RNA is filed under the name Hordeum vulgare. RNAcentral's name for it is "long non-coding RNA (HVUL_LNC002821)". Lineage: Eukaryota; Viridiplantae; Streptophyta; Magnoliopsida; Poales; Poaceae. The record is from RNAcentral.
AAGCCACCCCUAUUCGUGUCCUUGCGCGAGAAGAUCAUCAUCCAUGCCGUGAAACCAUUCAGAAAAGAAAGAACGCGAUCGGUCCACCACACACGAAGAAUUUCGAAUGUCCGUGUAUACUGUUCAUCAAGUUCGUCGCAUCCAUUCGUCGCGCUCGGUGAGUUUCUGUUCAAUUCCUUUUGCACCUGAAUUCAACCACAUUUAUCCUAUCUCCUAGACAUCAUAGUUCGGCCUCUUUCUUUAGUUGGUCGCGUGCGUUCAAUGAACGAGGCCAUCCGUUGACAUCAACAUGAUUACUUAGGUUCUACUCAUCGUAGAGCUUUUUGUCCAACAUAUACAAUCUUCUCUAUGAGCAUAUAAACCUAGUGAAGGCGUUAUAUUACUUGUUUAGACAACUCGGUUUACCGUAUGUUUUAUUGUAAUCGUUUACGCCUAAUAUCAUAUAGUGUUUGGAGUUUGGUAAAAAUUUCUUGUGAAUCUAUUAUUAUUUUUAUUAUACCGUGAUAUGCCUAGGAGUGUAUCCUAAAUGUCUUACAAUUUCUGAUGUGGCAAGUGACUUGUUUGAUUUAUCAUUUUUUUUACCGACUAUAGUUUUUGAAAAUUAUUGAGCAUAUUAUUUCAUGUGUUAUUUUUUAUGCUGUAAUUAGUCAUAGGAUAUAUGCACGUACACGUAUUGUGAAUUAUUACCAUGUUUGUAAGGAUUUUAUUUAUUUAUUUUAGUUCUGUAGUCCUCACUUGUGCAUGCGCACACAACUUUGACAAUGUUCGCCAUGCUUAUAGUUGCAUAGAAUUUUCAUUGUUUUGCUUUGUUUCAUCCUAGAACAAUUUAUCUUUUGAUUUAAUCUAUUUUGUUUAGCAUGGCAAAUAUAUUAUUUUGUUUCAUAUAUUCGUUUUCAAUCAUGUUGCUUAUGCGAUUUGUUUAUGUGUGAAGUCAUGAUGUUAUAGGUUAGCGCUUAUCUAAUCAUAUGUGUUAUAUAUUUAAUUUUCAUUUACUAGUUAUCAUGAGCAUGUUAUGUUACAUUAAAUUUUAGAGUAAGUUGAUAUUGUUGUAGAGUUUCUAUAAGCUAAACGAAGCCAAGGUUAAUCAUUGGUUGUUGCAUAUAGUUAAUUGUCAUUUAAUCUUUACAAAUAUUUAGAAUUAUCUAAAUAUUUAUCUUGGUCGGCUAACAUUUAGUCAUGCAUGUCUAGUAUAGGUUAGUUGUAUUAUUUCAUGUGUUUUGUAUAUGUUAAUUACGAUAGAUAUCAAAUGAAAUGCUUCGUUAUUGGAGGUGACUACCUUAUAGUUUAUUGCAUAGAUAUACCACCUAGUUGAUCAUUUAGUUUUAUAGAUGUUUGCUAUCCAUUAUUCAUGGUUGGUUGUUUCAUGUCACUUUCAGAUUUGUAUUGUUACAUAUGAUUUAGGUUGUAGCAUGUAACCUAUACUUUAUUACUUCUUGUUAAUUAUCUUAGAUGUAUUGUUUACCUAGGAUGGUAGCUUACAUGUCAUGUGUGUACCAACCCGUGUGUUGUACCAAUUCGGUUCUACUUUAUUAUUUUAGUUGACUUACAUGUCAUGUGUGUACCAAUACGUGUAUUGUACGAUGCCUUGGUUGUGCUUCUAUGUAUUGCAAGUGAGGUUGUACUAUUUUGAAACGCAUGCCAUCAUGUUAUCCGUGUUGUAUAAUACACGUUGAUUAGUUGAUUAUAUGAUCUAGCUGUUUACUUGCCUACAUGCUCAUUACUAUUUAUGAACGUGCUUAUCUGUAUUAACUAACAUGAUAGGGUUGUGCUUAUUCCAUGAUUUCGUGUUCUUACAUGUCAUGACUAGAAUGUGAGAUUGCAUGCUAGUGCCAUGCUUGAUCUUCAUGAUAGUUGAUAUCAACUAAGUUAUCUCAUAGUUACGAGUUGUAUUCUAUUGGUAGCCUAGUGUGGUAUCUCAUGUGAUGAUCCACCAUGAUUAGUCAGUAUAUUUACUUAUCUAUCUAUUGCAUUAUCGUAUGCUUAAGCCUAUACAUCUUGUCAUGAUAGUGAUCUUUCAUGUCUUAUUAUGCUCCAUGUGUUAUAGUAGCGUACUUAAUCCGUGUGCUUCUUAUAGGUGAUUGCCCUUGUCACAUGUUAGUGUUUUAUACUUGAUGCAAUAGUUCAUCCCAUGCUUAGGAUGAAUCAUAUGUCGUGUUAAUAGAAUCGUGCUUUGAUCAUACAGUUAGUGUGCACAUCAUGCUUUAUUAUUUUGAUCAUGUGGUGAUAAUAUAAUUGCUAGUGGUCGUUAGUAUUGGUUUAUCUUUUGUUCUAGAAAACGUUGUUUGUUAUGGUUGAUGUUUUACUUUGCUUGUGGUUACCAUUGUAAAUAUUUAGAUUAUCUAAAUAUUUGUUUGUGGUUAACCUUUACAUCUACUAUGUUAUGUUGAGAUUGUGUAGUAAAAAUACGUAUGUUGAUUCCAUUCCAUGUGUGUUGAACUUCAUCGGCUUCAUCAUGUAGUAGUCUUAUAUAAUUAACUGAGUUGUGUAGUGGACAGUACUAAUCGUCAGUAUCGUAGUUCCCAUUAGAACGCUAGUCUUGAUCACCAAGCGUUCCUUAGUCAUCGUCAACCUAAACCAUGUCACCCCAUUGAAUCAUCUCUCUUACAUCCCUAUCGUGCUAUCCCAUUUCGGAAUCUUCAUCUUGAUACAUAUCUUGCUAUCCAUCCACUCUCAGUUUGAUUUGGAUUUCUUUGAAUUUACUAUUGCUUCGGUAUUUAUUCAUUUUCCAUUUCUAUCAUUACGACGAGUAGGGAGUGACGAUGUUGGACAUGGACAGAAACAUGUUACUGAAGAAGGAC